AUAGGGUCUAGACCUGGCAUAUCUUCAUAGGACCAUGCAAAAAUAUCCGGAUAUUCCCGGAGGAGUCGGAUGAUCUUCUGUUUAACCCCUUCCUCUAGAGUAGCACCAAUCUUGAUUUCUUGCUUGUUUUCCUCGGUACCUAUGUUAAUAAGCUCAAUCUCUUCCUGA
Molecule: microRNA precursor, 168 nt
Filed under: Medicago truncatula (barrel medic)
Lineage: Eukaryota; Viridiplantae; Streptophyta; Magnoliopsida; Fabales; Fabaceae
Description: MIR2680 microRNA precursor family
Rfam family: MIR2680 microRNA precursor family
Source: Rfam by way of RNAcentral